UGCGGUCAGAACUUUAUGAAA
This 21-nucleotide non-coding RNA is filed under the name Caenorhabditis elegans. The record is from RNAcentral. Lineage: Eukaryota; Metazoa; Nematoda; Chromadorea; Rhabditida; Rhabditidae.